UCAGCCAGCGAUCCGGCGAUUGCCGGUGCGGCACCGUCAUUAACCCGUGUUCAUCAGCGUGCGGAUGCCCUGAUGCGGGAGCUGGAUCCGCGCACCACCACUGAACUGA
Molecule: ribosomal RNA, 109 nt
Filed under: Escherichia coli 1-250-04_S1_C1
Lineage: Bacteria; Pseudomonadati; Pseudomonadota; Gammaproteobacteria; Enterobacterales; Enterobacteriaceae
Description: partial 16S ribosomal RNA
Source: RNAcentral